Molecule: long non-coding RNA, 1848 nt
Organism: Lagopus leucura (white-tailed ptarmigan)
Lineage: Eukaryota; Metazoa; Chordata; Aves; Galliformes; Phasianidae
Exons: 3
Source: RefSeq, a predicted model, not a curated record
GAGCUGAAAACCAGUGGGUGCAAUUCUGAAAAACCAGCAUGAGGUCUGUGCACUGUCCCACAGCAGAGCAGGUCCCCAGGAACCCCAGCAUUUGAGAGGCACCAACCAUCCUUGUGAAAAGGAAAUCCAAAGACCUUACAGAGCACAGUUAUUACAAGGAAACCAUAUUGCUUUAAACACUGAGAGAGCUUCCGUCCUCUCCCUGCUCACGAGGUCUUUCCAGGUGUAGAGUUUUACAGUAUUGCGAUAAUACAACGCAGGCGAGUGUUAAAAAGCACACCGAGUUCUCAAGAAAGAUCUCUGCAGCAGCCAAAUGCAUCACCACUGUCGUGCUUCUUCAGCACAAAGAGGCUCAGCGUUGGAAUGCCUUUGCAAAGCCAAGACAAACCACUUUCCAUUGCGUUUUGAAACCUGCCAGGGAUCUCAAAGCCUCGGGAAGGUGAGAGCCAUUCCCAACCUCGCAGCAGCACCGCAACCACCGGACAUCAGAACUGAAAGGUGGUGAAAAUGAAGAGAAAAACAGCUGGACCAAAACAUGAUGAAAUGAUCGAGGAAGCCACUGUGGCAACUGGAAUCCCACCAGUUUAAGAUGUGUCCAUCUGUCACGUCUUUCUGUAUAUCAGCUGACAUUACAGAGGGAAGGAUGGAAUCACAUAUUGCAAUUUACACACAAUGGUGAGAUCCUUGCAGAUUGUCUGCGCUCAGCUGGAAAAGGCCCCAAUCCACCCCUCUCACUCUGCAUCAGCCUCGGUGGCCUUUAUCAGCCCUGCUUUGUAUUUCUGAUGCCAUCUGGAGAUGCCAUUAGGACAACUCAAGUCAGUCAGCAUUUCAUUUAUGGGAAUCAACCCAGCAGGAAAGGACAUUGGUGCAAUCCUGUCAUUUUCUGAAGGUUCCAGGGAUGUUUUAACCUGAUCCAGAAGAUUUUCAUCUGUGGCCCAGCCAUGAGGUAACAUAUUGUGAUUCCAACAGCAAAACUGCACAAGAGAUAUACCAGAAAUUCUGAGCUAACAACUCAGUGCUCCUGGGCUCAGUGGAUCUCUCCCAAGCCUGUUUCUUACAGCUGAAACCUUCCAACAAUCUUGGAGACGUUACGCUGAGUGAGACACGUGUUCAAGCCAGAAGAUGUGCACAUAAAUGCCAUGAAUGAGUUCCUCAAAAAGUAUGAAGUCCAAAUCUCACCAAGAGAUUCAACAGGACACCUCUUUGAGUAGCCAGAUGUACAAACUGGUGUCGAUGGAACCUGGGGAGUGGCAUUAUGUCAGCUCCCACAUCCCUCCUGCUUGCCAGAGAUGGAGCACAUCCAGAAUGAAGAGGGAUGGUUCUCUCCACAACAGUGUAAACAAAGAGGAAAGUCAGAGGGGACAGGAAAUGAGGAAUUUUUUCAAGGCCACUUCUUUUAAAGCCUUUUUCACCCUCCUGACUUGGACACGUUUCCCAAUAAGGAAAAAAAAAACUCCUUGAGGCCAAACUAGCUCUAAGCUUAUCUCCAGCUCUCACUAGAACUGCCCUUUCACUAAUGCAGCUCAGAAGGUCAAAGUUUCUUCCGUAAAGCAAGGUGAGUGCAUUGGAUGUGUUCAAGGCCACAGGAGCAAGGUGUGUGAGGCGGGCAAUGGCACAGCAGAGAUAGCAGUGAGGUGUUCGGGCACUUCUCCAAGGACCUGGGGAGAGCUCUGGCUUUCCCCCUUCAUUCAAAGCUCCCUCAUUUCUUACCCUCCUUUUUGCAAUUGCAAACAAAAGGUUAAGGAGCCUGUGAGGGCAGUGCUGCUGUGAUUUACCUAUCCUUAAAGAAACACAACUGGAUCAACCAAUUCCCUUUGCACAAGGUAAAAGACACGAUACCAGUCUGGA